RNAcentral lists this ribosomal RNA (274 nucleotides) under uncultured prokaryote. RNAcentral describes it as "partial 16S ribosomal RNA". It matches the Rfam family "Bacterial small subunit ribosomal RNA", at positions 524 to 798 of the family's 1533-position model. The record is from RNAcentral.
UACGUAGGGGGCGAGCGUUAUCCGGAAUUAUUGGGCGUAAAGAGUGCGUAGGUGGUCUUGUAAGCGUGGGGUGAAAGGCAGUGGCUUAACCAUUGUUAGCCUUGCGAACUGUGAGACUUGAGUGCAGGAGAGGAAAGUGGAAUUCCUAGUGUAGCGGUGAAAUGCGUAGAUAUUAGGAGGAACACCAGUGGCGAAGGCGACUUUCUGGACUGUAACUGACACUGAGGCACGAAAGCGUGGGGAGCAAACAGGAUUAGAUACCCGCGUAGUCCCU